Molecule: transfer RNA, 67 nt
Filed under: Cephus pygmeus
Lineage: Eukaryota; Metazoa; Arthropoda; Insecta; Hymenoptera; Cephidae
Description: tRNA-Trp
Source: RNAcentral
AAGAUUUUAAGUUAAAUUAAACUAUUAACCUUCAAAGUUAGAUAUAAUAAAAUAUUAUUAAAUCUUA